This 478-nucleotide ribosomal RNA is filed under the name uncultured bacterium. RNAcentral's name for it is "partial 16S ribosomal RNA". It matches the Rfam family "Bacterial small subunit ribosomal RNA", at positions 28 to 507 of the family's 1533-position model. The record is from RNAcentral.
GAUGAACGCUGGCGGCGUGCUUAACACAUGCAAGUCGAACGAGAAGUGAAGACGGAAACCUUCGGGCGGAAGGCUUUAUUUCGAGUGGCGGACGGGUGAGUAACGCGUGGGUAACCUGCCUCAUACAGGGGGAUAACAGUUGGAAACGACUGUUAAUACCGCAUAAGACCACAGCACCGCAUGGUGCGGGGGUAAAAACUCUGGUGGUAUGAGAUGGACCCGCGUUCGAUUAGCCAGUUGGCGGGGUAACGGCCCACCAAAGCGACGAUCGAUAGCCGAUCUGAGAGGAUGACCGGCCACAUUGGGACUGAGACACGGCCCAAACUCCUACGGGAGGCAGCAGUGGGGAAUAUUGCACAAUGGGGGAAACCCUGAUGCAGCGACGCCGCGUGAGUGAAGAAGUAUUUCGGUAUGUAAAGCUCUAUCAGCAGGGAAGAAAAUGACGGUACCUGAGGAAGAAGCCCCGGCUAACUACGUG